CACGUACAAGCAAUAAAUCCCAACUCAAACCAUAAGAUCACCUCAUUACUUAAUCCUCACGAACAAACGACCCCUAACAAAACAAGAACUACUAAAAGAAUUACCAGAACAACCAUAACCACUACAAGAGAACUCUAAUACAUUGAGUGGCAAAUUCGCAAGCAACCAAACAAAAGUCAAGCAUUUCAUUAACCCAUUGACCGUAUGAAAAGCAUAUAACUUCUUACAAAAAAUAAAUAGCUAUAUUGUACACUCAAACCCUAGAAAACGAAGAGAAAGAAUAAAGCAGAGAUUACCAGGGAAAGAGGGGGGGG
RNAcentral lists this unclassified non-coding RNA (314 nucleotides) under Hevea brasiliensis (rubber tree). Lineage: Eukaryota; Viridiplantae; Streptophyta; Magnoliopsida; Malpighiales; Euphorbiaceae. The record is from RNAcentral.